UACGGAGGGUGCAAGCGUUGUUCGGAAUUACUGGGCGUAAAGCGCGUGUAGGCGGCCCGAUAAGUCAGAUGUGAAAGCCCUCGGCUUAACCGGGGAAGUGCAUCUGAUACUGUCGGGCUUGAGUCCUGGAGAGGGUUGUGGAAUUCCCGGUGUAGAGGUGAAAUUCGUAGAUAUCGGGAGGAACACCAGUGGCGAAGGCGACAACCUGGACAGAGACUGACGCUGAGACGCGAAAGCGUGGGGAGCAAACAGG
This 253-nucleotide ribosomal RNA is filed under the name uncultured bacterium. Its description in RNAcentral is "partial 16S ribosomal RNA". It matches the Rfam family "Bacterial small subunit ribosomal RNA", at positions 524 to 776 of the family's 1533-position model. The record is from RNAcentral.